Molecule: unclassified non-coding RNA, 200 nt
Filed under: soil metagenome
Description: partial contains internal transcribed spacer 2 and large subunit ribosomal RNA
Source: RNAcentral
UCGAGCGUCAUUUAACCCCUCAAGCCCAGCUUGGUGAUGGGCGCCUGUCCUGCAAGGGACUCGCCUCGAAUACAUUGGCGGCCGGUACGUUGGCUUCGAGCGCAGCAGAAACGCGAACUCGAGCCCGGCGGAUUGGCUCCCAUAAGCUACCAAACCCAAAGUUUGACCUCGGAUCAGGUAGGGAUACCCGCUGAACUUAA